Molecule: RNA transcript, 3215 nt
Organism: Camarhynchus parvulus
Lineage: Eukaryota; Metazoa; Chordata; Aves; Passeriformes; Thraupidae
Gene name: pre-mRNA-processing factor 6 pseudogene
Exons: 1
Source: RefSeq, a predicted model, not a curated record
AUGGACAAGAAGAAGAAGCCGUUCCUGGGCAUGCUGGUGCCCCUGGGCUACCUGCCAGGACUGGGCCGUGGAGGCACGGGUUUCACCACCCGCUCUGAUAUCGGCCCUGCCCGCGAUGCCAACGACUCUGUGGGCGACCGGCACGCCCCGCUGGGCAAGAGAACUCUGGGAGACCAGAUGGAGAAGAACCAGAAGACAGCAGAUGAUGAUGAUGGGGAUUUGAAUGACACCAACUAUGAUGAGUUCAAUGGCUACACUGGGAGCCUGUUCUCAAGCGGUGCUUAUGAAAAAGAUGAUGAAGAAGCAGAUGCUGUUUAUGCAACUUAAAGUAAGAUGAUGGAUGAACGCAGGAAAGAAAGGAGGGAACAACGAGAAAAGGAGGAAAUAGAAAAGUACCGUAUGGAACGAUCCAAAAUUCAACAGCAGUUCUUAGACUUGAAACGGAAAUUAGCAGAAGUUACUGAGGAGGAGUGGCUGAGUAUUCCUGAGGUUGGGGAUGCCAGGAACAAGUGGCAGAGGAAUCCUUGUUAUGAGAAGCUGACUCCUGUCCCCGACAGCUUCAUUGCAAAGCAUUUGCAGUCAGGGGAGAGUCACACUUCUGUGGACCCACGCCAGACACAAUUUGGAGGACUGAAUACUCCAUAUCCAGGGGGUUUGAAUACUCCAUACCCAGGAGGAAUGAUGCCAGGCUUGAUGACACCUGGGACAGGUGAAUUGGAUAUGAGGAAGAUUGGCCAAGCCAGGAACACCUUGAUGGGUAUAAGGCUAAGCCAGGUGUCAGACUCUGUGAGUGGCCAGACUGUAGUGGGCCCAAAAGGAUAUCUGACAGACUUGAAUUCCAUGAUUCCCACACACAGAGGAGAUAUCAAUGAUAUCAAAAAGGCUUGUUUGCUCCUGAAAUCGGUCCGAGAGACCAAUCCUCAUCAUCCACCAGCCUGGAAAGCAUCAGCCCAACUGGAGGAGGUCACUGGCAAACUUCAGGUGGCUUGAAAUCUCAUCAUGAAAGGAGCAGAGAUGUGCCCUAAGAGUGAAGAUGUUUGGUUGGAAGCUGCUCGGCUUCAACCAGGAGAUAGAGCCAAGGCUGUUGUGGCCCAGGCUGCGUGGUACCUGCCACAGUCUGUGCGGAUCUAUAUCAGAGCAGCAGAGCUGGAGACAGACAUCCGUGCCAAAAAACGUGUCCUUAGGAAAGCCCUCGAGCAUGUUCCAAACUCAAUGCGUUUGUGGAAAGCAGCUGUGGAGCUGGAGGAACCUGAGAAUGCCAGGAUCAUGCUGAGCUGGGCUGUGGAGUGCUGUCCAACCAGUGUUGAACUGGGGCUGGCACUGGCAAGGCUGGAGACGUAUGAGAAUGCUCGUAAAGUCCUUAACAAAGCCCAGGAGAAUAUCCCAAUGGAUCGUCACAUCUGGAUUACUGCUGCCAAACUGGAGGAAGCCAGUGGAAAUACCCAGAUGGUGGAGAAAAUCAUUGACAGAGCUAUCAAAUCUCUUAGGGCUAACGGUGUGGAAAUCAACAGGGAGCAGUGGAUACAGGAUGCCAAGGAAUGUGAUAAAGCUGGAAGUGUGGCCACAUGCCAGGCAAUCAUGAGAGCUGUGAUUGGGAUUGGGAUUGGGAUUGAGGAAGAAGAUCAGAAACACACCUGGAUGGAAGAUGCAGACAGUUGUGCUGCUCGUAACGCCCUGGAGUGUGCCCGAACCGUUGAUGCCUAUGCCUUGCAAGUCUUCCCGAGCAAGAAGAGUGUGUGGCCGCGAGCAGCCUACUUUGAAAAGAACCAUGGAACCAGGGAAUCCUUGGAGGCUGUUUUGCAGAGAGCUGUUGCUCACUGUCCCAAAGCAGAGGUGCUGUGGUUCAUGGGGGCCAAAUCCAAGUGGCUGGCAGAUGUGCCAGCAGCCAGAAACAUCUUGGCCCUGGCCUUCCAGGCCAACCCCAGCAGCAAGGAGAUCUGGCUGGCUGCUGUGAAGCUCGAGUCGGAGAACAGUGAGUAUGAAAGAGCGAGGAGGCUGCUGGCAAAGGCUCGCAGCAGUGCCCCCACAGCAAGGGUCUUCAUGAGGUCUGUGAAGUUGGAAUGGGUGCUUGGGAAUAUUGCUGCAGCCCAGGAGCUCUGUGAGGAAGCCCUGAAGCACUAUGAGGGCUUCCCCAAACUGUGGAUGAUGAAAGGACAAAUUGAAGAACAAAAAGAGCUGGUAGAGAAAGCACGGGAGGUUUAUAAUCAAGGGUUGAAGAAGUGCCCCCAUUCCAUACCCCUGUGGCUUUUGCUGUCCAGGCUGGAGGAGAAAGUAGGGCAGCUGACUAGAGCAAGAGCCGUCUUGGAAAAGUCUCGCCCGAGAAAUCCAAAGGAUCCAGACCUCUGGUUGGAGUCUGUACGCUUGGAGUACCGAGCUAGGCUGAAGAACAUUGCUAACAGUCUGAUGGCCAAGGCACUGCAAGAGUGCCCCAAUUCAGGAAUCCUGUGGUCAGAAGCAAUUUUCCUUGAAGCGCAACUGCAACGAAAGACCAGGAGUGUGGAUGCUCUCAGGAAGUGUGAACAUGACCCGCAUUUCCUGCUGGCUGUGGCCAAGCUGUUCUGGAGUGAGUGCAAAAUAACCAAGGCCAGGGAGUGGUUCCACCAUGCAGUGAAGACAGACUCUGACCUGGGGGAUGCCUGUGCCUUCUUUUACAAAUUUGAGCUCCAGCACGGCACAAAGGAACAACAAGAAGAGGUGAGGAAGUGCUGUGAGAAUGCUGAACCUCACCAUGGAGAGCUCUGGUGUGAUGUCUGCAAGGACAUAGAGAACUGGCAGAAGAAGACUGGAGAGAUUCUUCUGCUUGUGGCAGCCAAGCUGAAAAAUACAUUCUAGAGUGUGCUGGCCUCAGCUGCCUCAGAGGUCUCUGUAGAACUUAACCUGCCCUUUCAGAGACACAGAUUUUGAAGGACAGUGUUGGGGGUUAGGCUUCUUUCCUUUUGUUCCUUUUUACUUACAGAAUUUUUCCCCAUAAGUUGCUAGGAAUCAUUAAUGACUGGGUACUUAAGAAAAACAAAAGUGGCCAAGCUCAGGGGAGGAGGGCAUCUGGUUGCCUUUCUCUUAUCUGGGAGUUUCUCUCCUAGGGGAGAGAUACUGUGAGCAUCGGGCAGGUAAAGGGCGGGGCUGGGGCAGCUGCUGGCUCACUCUCUUGGCUUCGGAGGAGCACGGUCGGAGCUGCUGCUUGGGGAAGGGAAUGCGCUGCUGCCACCAGAGCCCAG